UGUUUUAUUUCAUUUACAUUGGGAAAUAAAGAAACGAUCAUUUUGUUUUGUUAGUUUUAAAAACUUUUGAUAUAUUUGUAUUUUGCAUUAUUAGCAGUCAACCGAUUGACAAACUAGAAUUAUUUGAAUUCCGUGUGGAAAGAGGUCGGGUUAAUUCGACUGUUAUCUGCAAUCUAGAUGUUUUUAAAUCAUUUCAGUGAGUCGUUGAUAUAACAAUUAAAGGUCGACUGAACAUGAAUUAUAAUGCAUAUUAUACAAUUUAAAGCGCAUUUCUAUUUAUGCACGUGAAGCCGUAUGACGUUAUUGUUAUUUCGAUAUCAGUUACAAAAAGUGGCAAAUUAUCGUUCCUGAAUAGGUGGCGCCGUGGAUGUUUCUUAACUUCCGGUUUCUGCACCGGACAAAUUUACAAUGACAUUUUUAAUUAAUGAUGCCUAGUUCUUGUUAUUGUGUACAUGGAUGUCAUUUAAGAGGAGGACAUGCAUAUCCAAAUGACUUAAAAAGAAGGAAAAGUUGGAUCAACGCCAUGGCCCAUACGCAGAUUGGACGAGAACACGAUAGUCCAUAUCAAUCAGCUGUUGUUUGCAAGGUACAUUUGACUGAAAACGACUACGUGCAGGAAACUAUUCAUGGGGGCAAACCCACCAUACAGAGACUUGUCUACUGCCAUUUAAAAUUUGGAACUGCUUUACAUUUUGUACAUAGUCCCUACUGCCUACAGCCUAUUUUUCUGGACCAAGCAAAAUGAGGAAGAGACUGAAUCGUCCGCAAAAAGAAAAAUCAGGGCAGUUUCCCGUGAAUCCAAAAGAACUAAACUGUAAAACAAUAUCUGAAUCUAGUGUUAAGAAUAUUGUGUAUGUACAUGGAUUGUUUUUAUGUCUAAACAGUGGCGAGAUGCUAUAGCUAACACUUGGCCAUCUAGUGGUUUGUCAGAUAUUUUUCGCCAUCUGACUUCAAAUAAAUGUUUCCUACAACUAGGAUUAUUAUUGACAGCACAGAAUGUCCCGUGAAAAAACCUAAAGCUCGGUUAAGCUCCUAGAGCUCAACAGGCAACCUUUUCAUCAUAUUAAAACAGAAAUACUGAAAAUACUUGUAUGUUCGACACCUGGUGGUUUAGUCAACUAUGUCUCUAAUGCAUAUUAGAAUAGUUGAACGAUGUAGAAUAGUUCAAUUAUGUGAUCCAGGUGACAGUGUGAUGGCAGAUAAAGGUUUUAAUGUGCAAGAUUUGUUUGCUAAAAUGGAUGUUGCCGUCAAUAUUCCAACUUUUUUCAAAAGGAGAAACAGAAUUAGUUCGAAAACUCUUAUACGGGAUAGAAAAGUCUCCAAUAAACAGGUGCAUGUAGAGCCAAUUAUUGGACUUGGCAAAACAUACAACAUGUACAAAAUUCUAACAAAUCCUUUGAAUGGAACUGAAACAAAACUUUCAUCUGAAAUAACAUUUAGUUGUUUCAAUUAUGUUGUGUAAUUUUAGAACUUGUAUUGUGCCAAAGGAUGCAUAAAUGAAAGUGACGCAA
Molecule: long non-coding RNA, 1511 nt
Organism: Mytilus californianus (California mussel)
Lineage: Eukaryota; Metazoa; Mollusca; Bivalvia; Mytilida; Mytilidae
Exons: 2
Source: RefSeq, a predicted model, not a curated record